CACCCCCGCCCGCGGCUGCCGUUUCUUUCUCCCUCCCCUCCGCUCGCCGAGAACCUGCAGGCUGAGGCCCGGCCCACCCACCCACUCCGAAGCCAUGGGCUCCUCCUACGACCCGUCCCCGUCCCCCCGGCACCGUUGCUGACGACUUCCCCUUCUACCUCUCCGACCUCGGCCCCGCCUCCCCCUCCCCUACCUCGACCUCCCGCCCACCCUGCAGCACGAGAAACCUCCGCAGCCGCAGCAGCUGCAACAGUUCCCCCAGCCCAACGGCGGGGCCGCAGCAUCGCCGGAGGACAUGGUCCUCCCCUUCAUCUCCCGCAUGUGUACCGGUGCCGUCUCCCUCGUGCGCCGCUCCACCCCGCGCUCGUCGCCGUCGACGAUGUCGGCCUCGGGAGGGCCGACGAUGUGGGGGAUGGCGAGCAGUGGCGCCUAGCGGUAGCCGACCUCUCCCGGAGGCUCGCCGCGGCCACGCGCACGCGGGACGAGGCGCUGGAGGAUAUCACGUGCCUGAGGAACUCCGCCUUCCCCAUCGACGCCUUCCUCCGCGCCGUCUCCACCGCGCGCGCCGUCGUGCGGAACCUCGCACGCGCUGUCCACGCACCUGCACAGCCCCACCAGCCCCAGCCCGAACCUCGAGAGCUUCCUCAACCGCGCCUUCCACGCCGACUUCGAGCUGGACACCGACGCCGAGGCCAAAUUACUUUAUGAUCCGAACUGAUUUCCCCUCCAGAACACUAGGGACCGGUGCGUGCUCCCGCCGUCCGCCCGCCCAUUUGGCCACAGCUCCAACACCGAGGGCAUGAAUCUUCAGAACACUAGGGACGUCGAGAUCAAGAGCACGAGCGUCGGCUGCGGCGAUGACUGCGUGUCGAUAGAGACUGGGUGCGCAACUGUUCAGAUUAAGUUAUGAAGAACAUUGUCUGCAACCAUGCCACGGAAUCAGGGAGCAUGUGGGGAAAUUAUUUGAGUUAGGGUAACCUCUAGCAUGAUCAGGACAGAAGGAUAGAGCACACGCCAAGUUGAAGAGCCAGUCUCAACUCCACACUAUUCCUUUGGCUUGUGCUGCCUGGAACAAUAUGCUAUUUUUGCAAAAGUUUCUUUUUUACGUGCCUUUUAUUGAUGUGUAGAUACACCAAGAAAGGAGUUACUGUUAAUUGGUGUGCUGAGCCACACAUAUCCUUUGCUUCCAGAAUAGAAUUCAUCUGAAUAAGACCAUCGUUGGCUACAGGCUAUAGACAUGUCUUUUGUUUGUCUGGUAGAGAAUAAAUAGAUAAUUCCAAGGAUCAUGUAGAUAAAGGCACAAACAAGCAAGUUAUGAUGCGGAUGAGAUACAGUGUUGUAAACAAACAUUUGGAUAUCCCUGGAUGGACGCUAACUAUACUUCA
Long non-coding RNA from Panicum hallii, 1385 nucleotides. RefSeq lists it as uncharacterized. The record is from RefSeq and is a predicted model, not a curated record. The transcript is spliced from 5 exons. NCBI's taxonomy places the organism in Eukaryota, Viridiplantae, Streptophyta, Magnoliopsida, Poales, Poaceae.